Molecule: ribosomal RNA, 492 nt
Filed under: uncultured bacterium
Lineage: Bacteria
Description: partial 16S ribosomal RNA
Rfam family: Bacterial small subunit ribosomal RNA
Source: RNAcentral
AUUGAACGCUGGCGGCAUGCUUUACACAUGCAAGUCGAACGGUAACAGGCCUUCGGGUGCUGACGAGUAGCGAACGGGUUAGUAAUGCAUCGGAACGUACCCAGAGGUGGGGGAUAACGCAGCGAAAGCUGUGCUAAUACCGCAUGUGAUCUGAGGAUGAAAGCGGGGGACCGAGCAGCAAUGUUUGGCCUCGCGCCUUUGGAGCGGCCGAUGUCGGAUUAGCUAGUUGGUGGGGUAAAGGCCUACCAAGGCGACGAUCCGUAGCUGGUCUGAGAGGACGACCAGCCACACUGGGACUGAGACACGGCCCAGACUCCUACGGGAGGCAGCAGUGGGGAAUUUUGGACAAUGGGCGCAAGCCUGAUCCAGCAAUGCCGCGUGCGGGAAGAAGGCCUUCGGGUUGUAAACCGCUUUUGGCAGGAACGAAACGGUGUCCGCUAAUACCGGGCGCUAAUGACGGUACCUGCAGAAUAAGCACCGGCUAACUACGUG